Molecule: ribosomal RNA, 2905 nt
Filed under: Escherichia coli
Lineage: Bacteria; Pseudomonadati; Pseudomonadota; Gammaproteobacteria; Enterobacterales; Enterobacteriaceae
Description: 23S ribosomal RNA
Rfam family: Bacterial large subunit ribosomal RNA
Source: RNAcentral
GGUUAAGCGACUAAGCGUACACGGUGGAUGCCCUGGCAGUCAGAGGCGAUGAAGGACGUGCUAAUCUGCGAUAAGCGUCGGUGAGGUGAUAUGAACCGUUAUAACCGGCGAUUUCCGAAUGGGGAAACCCAGUGUGUUUCGACACACUAUCAUUAACUGAAUCCAUAGGUUAAUGAGGCGAACCGGGGGAACUGAAACAUCUAAGUACCCCGAGGAAAAGAAAUCAACCGAGAUUCCCCCAGUAGCGGCGAGCGAACGGGGAGGAGCCCAGAGCCUGAAUCAGUGUGUGUGUUAGUGGAAGCGUCUGGAAAGGCGUGCGAUACAGGGUGACAGCCCCGUACACAAAAAUGCACAUAUUGUGAGCUCGAUGAGUAGGGCGGGACACGUGGUAUCCUGUCUGAAUAUGGGGGGACCAUCCUCCAAGGCUAAAUACUCCUGACUGACCGAUAGUGAACCAGUACCGUGAGGGAAAGGCGAAAAGAACCCCGGCGAGGGGAGUGAAAAAGAACCUGAAACCGUGUACGUACAAGCAGUGGGAGCCUCUUAAUGGGGUGACUGCGUACCUUUUGUAUAAUGGGUCAGCGACUUAUAUUCUGUAGCAAGGUUAACCGAAUAGGGGAGCCGAAGGGAAACCGAGUCUUAACUGGGCGUUAAGUUGCAGGGUAUAGACCCGAAACCCGGUGAUCUAGCCAUGGGCAGGUUGAAGGUUGGGUAACACUAACUGGAGGACCGAACCGACUAAUGUUGAAAAAUUAGCGGAUGACUUGUGGCUGGGGGUGAAAGGCCAAUCAAACCGGGAGAUAGCUGGUUCUCCCCGAAAGCUAUUUAGGUAGCGCCUCGUGAAUUCAUCUCCGGGGGUAGAGCACUGUUUCGGCAAGGGGGUCAUCCCGACUUACCAACCCGAUGCAAACUGCGAAUACCGGAGAAUGUUAUCACGGGAGACACACGGCGGGUGCUAACGUCCGUCGUGAAGAGGGAAACAACCCAGACCGCCAGCUAAGGUCCCAAAGUCAUGGUUAAGUGGGAAACGAUGUGGGAAGGCCCAGACAGCCAGGAUGUUGGCUUAGAAGCAGCCAUCAUUUAAAGAAAGCGUAAUAGCUCACUGGUCGAGUCGGCCUGCGCGGAAGAUGUAACGGGGCUAAACCAUGCACCGAAGCUGCGGCAGCGACGCUUAUGCGUUGUUGGGUAGGGGAGCGUUCUGUAAGCCUGUGAAGGUGUGCUGUGAGGCAUGCUGGAGGUAUCAGAAGUGCGAAUGCUGACAUAAGUAACGAUAAAGCGGGUGAAAAGCCCGCUCGCCGGAAGACCAAGGGUUCCUGUCCAACGUUAAUCGGGGCAGGGUGAGUCGACCCCUAAGGCGAGGCCGAAAGGCGUAGUCGAUGGGAAACAGGUUAAUAUUCCUGUACUUGGUGUUACUGCGAAGGGGGGACGGAGAAGGCUAUGUUGGCCGGGCGACGGUUGUCCCGGUUUAAGCGUGUAGGCUGGUUUUCCAGGCAAAUCCGGAAAACCAAGGCUGAGGCGUGAUGACGAGGCACUACGGUGCUGAAGCAACAAAUGCCCUGCUUCCAGGAAAAGCCUCUAAGCAUCAGGUAACAUCAAAUCGUACCCCAAACCGACACAGGUGGUCAGGUAGAGAAUACCAAGGCGCUUGAGAGAACUCGGGUGAAGGAACUAGGCAAAAUGGUGCCGUAACUUCGGGAGAAGGCACGCUGAUAUGUAGGUGAAGCGACUUGCUCGUGGAGCUGAAAUCAGUCGAAGAUACCAGCUGGCUGCAACUGUUUAUUAAAAACACAGCACUGUGCAAACACGAAAGUGGACGUAUACGGUGUGACGCCUGCCCGGUGCCGGAAGGUUAAUUGAUGGGGUUAGCGGCAACGCGAAGCUCUUGAUCGAAGCCCCGGUAAACGGCGGCCGUAACUAUAACGGUCCUAAGGUAGCGAAAUUCCUUGUCGGGUAAGUUCCGACCUGCACGAAUGGCGUAAUGAUGGCCAGGCUGUCUCCACCCGAGACUCAGUGAAAUUGAACUCGCUGUGAAGAUGCAGUGUACCCGCGGCAAGACGGAAAGACCCCGUGAACCUUUACUAUAGCUUGACACUGAACAUUGAGCCUUGAUGUGUAGGAUAGGUGGGAGGCUUUGAAGUGUGGACGCCAGUCUGCAUGGAGCCGACCUUGAAAUACCACCCUUUAAUGUUUGAUGUUCUAACGUUGGCCCGUAAUCCGGGUUGCGGACAGUGUCUGGUGGGUAGUUUGACUGGGGCGGUCUCCUCCUAAAGAGUAACGGAGGAGCACGAAGGUUGGCUAAUCCUGGUCGGACAUCAGGAGGUUAGUGCAAUGGCAUAAGCCAGCUUGACUGCGAGCGUGACGGCGCGAGCAGGUGCGAAAGCAGGUCAUAGUGAUCCGGUGGUUCUGAAUGGAAGGGCCAUCGCUCAACGGAUAAAAGGUACUCCGGGGAUAACAGGCUGAUACCGCCCAAGAGUUCAUAUCGACGGCGGUGUUUGGCACCUCGAUGUCGGCUCAUCACAUCCUGGGGCUGAAGUAGGUCCCAAGGGUAUGGCUGUUCGCCAUUUAAAGUGGUACGCGAGCUGGGUUUAGAACGUCGUGAGACAGUUCGGUCCCUAUCUGCCGUGGGCGCUGGAGAACUGAGGGGGGCUGCUCCUAGUACGAGAGGACCGGAGUGGACGCAUCACUGGUGUUCGGGUUGUCAUGCCAAUGGCACUGCCCGGUAGCUAAAUGCGGAAGAGAUAAGUGCUGAAAGCAUCUAAGCACGAAACUUGCCCCGAGAUGAGUUCUCCCUGACUCCUUGAGAGUCCUGAAGGAACGUUGAAGACGACGACGUUGAUAGGCCGGGUGUGUAAGCGCAGCGAUGCGUUGAGCUAACCGGUACUAAUGAACCGUGAGGCUUAACCUU